This 467-nucleotide ribosomal RNA is filed under the name uncultured bacterium. RNAcentral describes it as "partial 16S ribosomal RNA". It matches the Rfam family "Bacterial small subunit ribosomal RNA", at positions 28 to 507 of the family's 1533-position model. The record is from RNAcentral.
GACGAACGCUGGCGGCGUGCUUAACACAUGCAAGUCGAACGGAAAGGCCUCUCUCGGGGGGUACUCGCGUGGCGAAAGGGUGAGUAAAACGUGAGUAUCCUCCCCUUGACUUUGGGGUAAAUUCUGGAGAAUCGGGGGCAUACAGGAUAUGGGAUCCUGCUGCGUGGGGGGGGGUGGGGAGUUUCGGCGGGUUGGGGUGGACACUCGGCUUAUCAGCGUGUUUGUGGGGGGGUGGGUUACCAAGGGUUUGGCAGGUAUCCGGGCCUGGAGGGUGACCGGGCACAAUUGGACUGGGAUACGGCCCAGACUCCUACGGGAGGCAGCAGGUGGGAAUAUUUCACAAUGGGUGGAAGCCCGAUGCAGCAACGCCGGGUGCGGGAUUACGGGCUUCGGGUUGUAAACCGCUUUCGCUCAGUACGAAGCUGUGUGUGACGGUAGUGGGUAAAGAAGCACCGGCUAACUACGUG